UUGGAGGGCAAGUCUGGUGCCAGCAGCCGCGGUAAUUCCAGCUCCGAUAGCGUAUAUUAAAGUUGUUGCAGUUAAAAAGCUCGUAGUUGAAUUUCGGGGUUAGUAGGUUGGUCGUGCCUCAGGUAUGUACUGAUCUCACUGAUUCCUCCUUCCUGAUGAACCGUAAUGCCAUUAAUUUGGUGUUGCGGGGAAACUGGACUGUUACUUUGAAAAAAUUAGAGUGUUUAAAGCAGGCUAACGCUUGAAUACAUUAGCAUGGAAUAAUGAAAUAGGACGUUCGAUCCUAUUUUGUUGGUUUCUAGGAUUGACGUAAUGAUUAAUAGGGAUAGUUGGGGGCAUUAGUAUUCAAUUGUCAGAGGUGAAAUUCUUGGAUUUAUUGAAGACUAACUACUGCGAAAGCAUUUGCCAAGGAUGUUUUCAUUAAUCAAGAACGAAAGUUAGGGGAUCGAAGACGAUCAGAUACCGUCGUAGUCUUAACCAUAAACUAUGCCGACUAGGGAUCGGAUGAUGUUAAUUUUUUAAUGACUCAUUCGGCGCCUUACGGGAAA
This 548-nucleotide ribosomal RNA is filed under the name uncultured Glomeromycotina. RNAcentral describes it as "SSU rRNA". It matches the Rfam family "Eukaryotic small subunit ribosomal RNA", at positions 548 to 1097 of the family's 1831-position model. The record is from RNAcentral. Lineage: Eukaryota; Fungi; Glomeromycota.